CGGGAUGCCAGAGGAGACAGCCUGCGUCGGAGAGGAAGGGAAGCAGGGAGGGCUGGCAUGGGCCGACCAAUGUGGAAGAAGAGAGGGAAAGUGGUUGGGGCUGGGGAAAGCAAAUAAACAGAGCAGUUGAGACAAUAAUAAUAAAAAGAAGAGUCAUUAAAGUGAAGAAAGGAGAUUGUGUCACACCCAAGACAAACAGAAAAUAAACGGCCAGUAGAUCUACUCUACAGAUGUUUGGCACUGAGACGUCCGAUUAGAGAUGCACGGGAGAUGCCGCAGUCGACCAGGGCUCCACCAGCAGCAGCUGGAGAGCAGGUGGGCAGGAGCCCGAGCCAGAGGGGCCUUCACGCUGGAGGAGAGCCAACCCCAGAGACCAUUUCACCCUCCUCCAGCCUCAGAGGAGGAGGCCGAGGACCACAGAGCUUCUGUAAUUUUUCUAUGGUCACAAAACCAGGAAAGGGGUCAUCUGGCAUUUAGACCCUGCUUCAUCUCAUCCCAAAGGCCCAGUGCUCUUUGCCUGACAUCAUAAACAACCAUGAGGUGGAGGAGAAUUUGACAACUGCCAAAUAAAACCACAUGCUCUCAAAAGAUACAAGAAAGGGGUCUCCCUCCUCAUAUCCACCCCUGCUCCCUGCCCCCUUAAUUGGAACCAAACUUCAUCUUUCUGUUCUGUGCACCAGCAGGGAGGAGCCAGCACAUCCCAUCCCCAGCCAGAGCCAAGUGCCUGCAGGUGUCUGAGGAAUGCUAAUGGCCGUGAAUGGGGGAGCCGCACAAGGCUCUUCUAGGCAUUUGCUUCCCAUUAAACCCUCUCGCCUUCCUCUCCAGUCCCUCCCUCCCCCUCUAGCAACAGGCAGCUUUCAUGAGUCAAUUACCAUGGCCAGGUUUUUCUGUUCCUCCGAAGCCACUGGCACUGCUAACAAGACACAGAUGCAGCAGGGCAAGCCCCUGUUGUCCACUUCAGAGUAGGGGCUUUCUUUGCCCCAAAGGACUCCAAGUAGACAGAAGGAAGGUUGGAUAGUUCAAUUUCAACUCCGCCCCCAAAGGACGGGGAGGCAUCAGAGGGCAAUAAGGUCAUCAGCGGUCUCAGGAAGAUGAGUGGGGCUGACCUGUUCCUCCCAGGGCUGUGGAGCUGUGGUGGAUCUCAGAGACAAAGCUGGGGACCCAAACAGGAGGAGCAAAGACUAGAUACGAGUGAAGGCACAGACCAGGGGGCUCCCCUAAAAUCUUCAGUUAACAGAGAGGUAUCCAGAGUCUAGGUAACUUAAUUCAAAACAAAUUGAAUUAAAAAUCUACUCAGAAACUAGUCAGACAGGCUGGAUGCUCAUAUUUAACCACAGUUUCCUAGAUCUUCUCACCAGCCUCACCACAUUCUCUGCCUCUUAAAGUUCCCCUUGGCCUUUGAGCCUCAGAAAUCCAUGAAAUUUCCCAGACAUUCCUGGGAAAAAUUAACCCCUCCUUUCUCUUUAGUCCCUCAAUACACUGGUUGUGGUUCUUCGAAUUCUCUAUAACAUAUCGGAGUGUGGGUUUAUUUUUAUGUGUCUUCCUCAGAACUCCUAAUAUUUCUUCAGUCUGAGGAUGAAUGUCUUCCACCAACUCUGGAAAAUUGAAUAUUGCUAUUCCCCCAUCCUCUCUAUUCUCCUUCUGGAACCCCGGGUAGGGGUAGUUUGGGCCCUUUCCUGUACUCUAUGCCUUUUAGUUUCUCUUACAUCUUUUCUCUCUCUUUAUCCUUCGGUGUGCAUUUGGGAUAAUUUCCUCUGAUCUGUCUUUCAGUUCACUAAUUCUCUGUUCAGCUUUGUCUAAUCUGCUCUUUGACACAUCUCUUCAGCUUUUAUUUCAAUGACUAUCUUUUUGCAUUUCUAGAAAGUUCUAUUUGGUUCUUUUUAAAAAUUUGCCUAUUGAAAAGAUAUGCUAUCUUUUCUUUAUGGUUUGUAUUCCUUUUUCAUCUUUUUAAUCAUUUUAAACACAGUUGUUUUAAAGUUUCUUUCAGGUUGUUAUAUUAUUUUAUGUUAUUUGAAUGCUAAGCUAGUUUGAUAUGUUUGCUGACUUUCCCUAACGGCAUAUCGUUUCCUCAUGUGGUUUGUAAUUUUUUUAUUGUUAGUACAACUUCAAGGAAGAUUACAUUUUGCUGUGAGAAUGCUGCUGCUGUGGGGCACAUUCUUCCAGAAUAGUCUUGCACUUCCUUCUCUUGAAGCCUGAUGAGUUUUACUGGUCUGGAACCUAUUUUUACAUUAAUUUCUCAGCUUGGGAAUUCCAACAGUGGAAAUUCAGACACUGUAGUCACAAAUGGUUUGAGCCUGGAGUUUCUAUUUCUCACUGGAGACUUUUUUUCUACUCAGAGCCCCAGUAAGGACAAGCUUUAUUCUCAGUACCCUAAGACUGUGAGUGAUGCUUUUCUAGUCCAGAUUUCUCUGAGGAUGCAUCCCUUACAGUGUCCUAGCUUUUGCAGAGGUCUCAAUUUUAGCUGUCUGCCUCUUAUGAACCAGGGAUCAUGUCACCUGCCCCCACGUCAGCAUCAAAACCAUAGUCCCCAGCUCCUAGGGCUGCAUCCACUCUGACAUCCCCUGUGGCACCAUCAUCAUGGCUUCAGGUUGGGGAACUUAUCAUUCAGACUUUAAGCACCACGUUUACCUACUGGUGACUUUUUCAUUGUGCUUUGCAUUCUAAUUCAUGAGUUUUUGCAAAUAGAUCAGGUACUUCUUGAAAAGCCUGUCUAAUUCAUCUUUGUUUCUCCUGUAGUGCCUAGCACAGGGCUCUGUCACAAGGCUCCUUACUUAUCCACUCAAACAUACAAAAACCUUAGACACCCAUACAUGACCCUUUCAUCCCUGCAGAAUACAUAAGCCACGGGGCUUCAGAGGUGAUCAGAGGAGGCAGGAUGAAGAAGUAAGCACUGGACAUUCCCCUCCUCUCUUCCAAGUUACUGGUUCUUUCCUAGGAGGUAGUGAAGGUCAUAGGUAGAGAUUUAGACCUGGUUCUAGUCUGAUCUCUGACACUUAUGAGCUGAGCGAACUUGGAAAAGUCACUUCAUCUUUCUGGGGCAUCAGAUUCUGCAUCUGUAAAACAGAGGCGGCAGAAUGGCCUGGGCAAUCUCCAAGAUCCCUUCCAGGUCCGGCAGCCUUUGUAGCUUCAAGGUAAGAACACCACCUGGAUAAAGUGGUCAGGCUCUCAUCCAGGUAUCCCCCAGAUUUUCCCCACCCUCAAUCACCCACUGGAAUUUCUCUCUCUCCCCUGCCUCUUCUUUCCACCUAACCUCCUUUCUCUGUACCCUGCUGUUCCUCCAAGUCCAAUCUCUGCUGAGGCCUUCGUCCUAUGUCUGUGUCUUAGGAAAGGGGGGCAGAGGUGGUGGUGGCAAAUAAUAUCCCCUCCAGUGGGGGGUGAUGAGCUUUAUGGGGGAUCAGAGGGCAGAUGACACAGGGACCCGGUGCCUGAGUGUACAGAAGCUCCAUCUGGCCCCAGCUUUAGGGGUUUCCUGAGCCUUGAACUGGAGACCCUGCAUCUUAAUGAGCCUCUUGAGCCGGUUCAGAAACAAUGAAUCAAAACCAGCUGGAAGCUGCCCUCCGACCCAGCUAAUGACUUGUUUAUUGUCAGAGCAGCAGUGCGUCAUAUAAGGGAAUUUCAAAGUGUCACUAAUUGGCAGAGGGCCAGUAAAUAGCACCAUAUAAAUCUGAAGGUGCUUCCACUAGGGCUGAGGAUUGUGGACCAGAUACUGAAGAGGCAAAAGGAAGCAGAUUACUGGAAGGGCAGGGCAGGGCAGUGGGUGCAGGGGCAGCACCAUUACCAGAGGCUGCAGCUUCUGCCCUGGGUCUCAACUACCCUGGGAGAUUGGAGUGUUUGUUCUGUCAUUGGGAAAGGAAAGACAAAGCCCCAUGAGGGUCCUAGUCCCACCUUCAGUGACAGUGUACUGCAUGUCCCCAACCCCAAGAUGCCUGACAUCCCCCUAUACUUUGGGAGAAGAUGUCCUCUUUUUGAGGUAAAGCCUGAGGAUCUCAUUUCAGGUAUGAUUAAUGGAUUCUGUAGACAUAAAAUUUAAGGCCCUGUUAUCCAUUACACAGAAAUGUUCUGCUUACAGAAGAACCUGGGAAAGACUUUACUCCAGUGGGCCCCUUAGGGACAGAGCUAGGAGGACCAGGAAGGAAUGAGUGAUGGUAUAAAAGGAGUCUCUUCUGACUCGGCAUGAGCUCCUACUGGGAGCUGGACCAGAAAAUGUGCCAAAGAUGGGUGAUCAGCAAAAGAAAUGGAUGUUCCUUCCAUGCCCACCCAACUCCUCUCAUACACACAAAUUCCUGCUGCCUGUCUCUUCCGCAUCUGAAGAUUGAAGCCAGCGGAUGGUUUGGAGAAGAGGAAGCAAGAAUGGAGGAAAAGCAUAAAGUGGGAAGUGAAAGGUUGGAAAGGGAGACGUGAGGUUGGCAUUUCAGAGUGGCAAUCACCUGCUCACAAGUGUGUGCUCUAGACGGGCCCAUUGGUGCUGCACCUCUGAGCACUGGCCCUGACGCCCACAGCAGGCUGGCAGAGGCAGGAAGCUUUGCCUUGGAGCCCUGCUGGGAAGUGAUGGGUAAAGGGGCCGAGGGCUGAUUCUUUGGGGUACCUACCCUGUGUCUGGGAGUCGUGGGCCCUAAGGUUAGGCCCAGCCUAAUGCCAGCUAAGCUUAUGAACUGCGACAUCAAGAAGCCUUGUGGGGAAUGGAAAGACAGCAAAAUCUGUAUGCAGUAGAGCCGACAGGAAGUCUGAGGACACCUGCAGUCUCAUAGUGAGAACUAGCACUGCCCAAAUUUAUUGGGCAUCCAUCACCUAAGGUGGAUGGGCCAAAAGUGCACCUGAGAACAGCUAGCACAACCUAGCAGAUCUCUCACAGGUGGAUUCCACUAUUGCAAUCUGCAGUUUACAGAUGGGAAACUAAGGUUCAAAGAAUCAGGACAUAUCAGGGGCCUGUCUGGGAGGUCCUGAGGCCUAAAGCGCCUCACUCUCUCUGCAUUCACAAGCAUUGAUGGAAAGCUGAUAUGUUUGGGGCCCCAGGCUAGGAACUCUAGAACUAGUGUGAGCAUAGUCUAUGUUCUCUAGGGUCUCAAGGUUGAUAGUGGGGACAAGCAUCCAAAUGACUAAGAGUAACAUAAAACAUGAUGGAGGAAAGAAUGGGAAAACAGGAAUGAGCAAAAAUAGGUGAAAGGACGGUGGGAUGAGUUCUCACCUGGAACAGGGGGGCCUUCACAAAGGGGUAGAAUUUGAGCUAAGCCUGGAAGAAAAGACAGACUUUCAACAGAUGGGGAAGGCCUGCAGCGGAGAGGGCUCACUGAGGUGGCCUCCUGAGGCAGCGGCUGCCUCUUCCUGUCUCACCCCAGCACAGAGCAGCGCUCACAACACACAGAUGUUGGGCGUCUGUGUCCCCCUCUCAGAGAGCCGCUGGGACAAGACACUGGGCAAAAAAUAAUCCUCCGAGGAAACUACUCCAAACACUUACACACAACCUGCCACGGCCUUGGACCCUGUGCCCACUGGUCUCUACAUCUUUUCUCCUCUUAAGAACCCUUCACAAAUGGCCCUUUGCCUAACUCUGAUAGCCAAAUGCCUUGAGGUUCAGGAAUUAAGAAAGCUUGAGGGGGGCCGGCUCUGUGGCCGAGUGGUUAAGUUCACGCGCUCCGCUGCAGCGGCCCAGGGUUCCGAGCCUGGGCGCGACAUGGCACCGCUCGUCAGGCCACGUUGAGGCGGCGUCCCAUAUCCCACAACUAGAAGGACCUGCAACUAAGAUAUACAACUGUAUACGGGGGGGUUGGGGAAAUAAAGCAGAAAAAAAAAAAAGAAAGCUUGAGGAAUUUCUCUCCCAGCGGGUCACCUUUUUCAUUUUUCUAACACUUAAAUUUUUAAUUUUAUUAAUUUUUUAAAAUUGGUUUUAUGUGAUGUAGACGUGGAACAAAGGAGUCCAAAGGACAUGUGAUGAAAAGUCCUCCCCGACACAGAGCCGGCCACCGAGUGCCCUUCCCGGUCCCACGGCCCUAUGGAUCCUCCCAGACUUGCUCCCUGCGUGUCUCCUUCAGACAGACGAAUACCUUUCCCACGGAAACAAACUGGGCUGUUCUGUGACUUCCUGCAAGAGCGCAAGAGGGGAAAGUACCUAAUUCCAGCCCCAGGUAGAACAGCAAAGUCGUCUCUCCGUCGCUAGGUGCACAUGCGCGGUCGUCCUUGGCACAGUGCUCCCAUCCUGAGCGUUUCGCACAUUCCCUCUUGUCGCGCACAGGAACCUUACGGUCAGUGUUACUUUCAUCACCCCCACUUUCCAGACAUAGAAACUGAGGCUCAGAGAGGUUCAGAAACAUUGUCCGGUCACCCAGCUAGUACAUGGCAGCACCAGGAUUUGAACCAAGGCCUGUCCGAUGGCAAAUCUUUGACUCUUAAUCAUUACACCAUUGUCUCUAGAAAGAGAAAGUGGAGAGCACUUUGGAUUUUGCAGACUGAAGUCUAUGGGGUGGGGGUGGGGGUUCUGCCCAGAGAAGAGCCUAAAAUCCAGUCUCCACUCAGACGCCCAGGGAGAAAUCCACCUGCAAAGGGCAUACCAAGUUUCCUCCUGAGAUUUUUCUCCUCUGGCUCAGGUUUUGUACUGAAUUUUAUGGAGAGAGAGAGCUGUGCCAAGGAACAGAACCCAUGUACACAGAAAAAUACACUCUGGGCAACCUGAAUUUACAGGUGUCCUGUGGGCAACACCAUGAGGAAAAGCAUCUCUUCUCAAAGCAGCCGAGAGGGCCUCAGGGUGGAGGCGUGAGCACAUCUGAUCCAGCAGUAGCUGCCUUCCCGUGGGCCCUGAGAAGACCGAGCUAAUCCCGCACACCCACAGCCACUUGACGCUAUCACGGCAGGGGACAGAUGCCCUGGCCGCUCUGCAGGCUCGGCAGUGUUUUCCAGGGGCCUCGAGGGACCUCUGUGCAGACAGGCCUCCAGAAGCUAAGGCCAUCACACCAGGUAGAAAUGAUUGUGCUAAUAAGGAAAGAGGUGGCCUGCAAGAGCCCUGCCUAGGCCCCAAGCCUCCAGUUAAUGAGACUUCAUGGGGAGAAAGAGCCUCUAGGGUGAGUGGGGGUGGGGCGGACGGGGCGCAGAGCAGCCGGAGGCCGGCAGUGGCUGAGCUGUUUAUUAGGAGACAAAGAAAGGACUUUGCUCUCUGCACUGAGGUCAAACUCAAGGUAUCCCGGGGAAAUGGCAGGGGAAUUUAUGAGGUGAGGAGGCAGCCGGUUUGACAGCUGUCUGCUGGCCUCCACCCCAGCACUGGUGCUUCAGCCCCGAACUGUCCUGGAGAGCAUUCACCUUGAUGAAGCAAGAUUCCUGGCAAAUCCCCAGGAUUCCAGGCCACUCGAGGGGCUUCUGGGAAAUGAUGCUCACACAAUGACACAGGUUGUAGAAUGGGUUGGAAAGGGAGGAGACAGUGACAGUUACUUUCUGGGUUCCCUCAAAGUCCCAAACCACCUACCACUCACUUCCCCACUCCCUCCGACUCAGACACAUGCAGAUUUCCCCCGGGGCUGGCCCCUCACCUGACAUCGGGACAGCCUCUGCUGGUGGCUGUGGCACGCUCCCACCUCAGAGUACAGGCAACUGGGACCCAGUUUUGCAACCUUGAGGCAGAAACAGGCAGGACUGCCCUCAACCACUCCUACCCUGCAAUUCUCAGACAUAAAGGGGUGGAGGUGGAGCUUGUGCGGGAGAGGGUGGACAUCCUGGGACUAAGCAGGAGGGUUCAAGCACUGCAUUUUGGGACAUUGGAGAAAUGGGUGGGAGGAGAGACAUUAUUUACAUUCAAGAAUGUAAAUUCAGACACUUUGGUUGUGUUAGUUGCCAGGUUUCCUUGGAAACCAGGUUUCCUUCUUUUUUUGAAAGGAAAGUGUGUGUGUGUGUGUCUGUCAGUCUGCCUGGGGUAGGACAGAGGAUGCUGACAAGAGAAGAAAUAGCUGCCUUGCCUGCAUACUGCAUUUGGACCCCGUCCCUCCCUAACAUGGACACCCUGAGACCCACACAAAUACAGGCAUCUUAGUGCUUUUGGAAGACUAGAAACACAACUCAAGAUGGUCUUCUGGGCAUGUUCCCCUAGAGUGUAACUUAGUCCGAUCCCCACAAGGGACCUGUUCUUUCUCCCUCCCCCAUAGCUUCUCAACUGGGAACAUGCUGAUACCCACCUCCCAGUGAUGUGGAUUAAGGCUGCCCCAGCUAGAGAAGCCCAAGGUGACCUGGCCUACAUGCCAAACUAUACGACCCAGUGGACUUUUUUUUUAUGGUAUGAAUUAGGACCGCCCCAGGGAGAGAAGCCCAGGGCAUCCUCACCUACAUGCCGAUCUAUAUGGCCAGAUUCGUAUCUAAAGUUAUAUGACCGCACAAUAACCAGACCCCAUCUGCACUGAAAUCAUUUAAUGACUUUUUACAUCAUCUUUUCUUUUUUCCAGUAAAAAUAAGUCACGUACCCAUGCCUUAUAAAAUUAGCCCUAACCCUCAACUCAGGGCAGCAGCAGGAGCUCUGUCUGCCCGUGGGUCCUGUCCCCACACACCAGCUCUGCCUGCCAAUGGGUCCUGUCCCCAUGCCAGCGGGGGCAGCAGAAGCGGCAGCAGCAGGAGCUCUGACUGCCCAUGGGUCCUGUCCCCAUGCUAUUCCACACUAUUCUCUAAAUAAAAG
Molecule: long non-coding RNA, 8644 nt
Organism: Equus asinus (donkey)
Lineage: Eukaryota; Metazoa; Chordata; Mammalia; Perissodactyla; Equidae
Source: Ensembl